CGCCGCGUGAGCGAUGAAGGCCUUCGGGUCGUAAAGCUCUGUUGUUAGGGAAGAACAAGUGCUAGUUGAAUAAGCUGGCACCUUGACGGUACCUAACCAGAAAGCCACGGCUAACUACGUGCCAGCAGCCGCGGUAAUACGUAGGUGGCAAGCGUUGUCCGGAAUUAUUGGGCGUAAAGCGCGCGCAGGCGGUUUCUUAAGUCUGGGGUGAAAGCCCCCGGCUCAACCGGGGAGGGUCAUUGGAAACUGGGAAACUUGAGUGCAGAAGAGGAAAGUGGAAUUCCAAGUGUAGCGGUGAAAUGCGUAGAGAUUUGGAGGAACACCAGUGGCGAAGGCGACUUUCUGGUCUGUAACUGACGCUGAGGCGCGAAAGCGUGGGGAGCAAACAGGAUUAGAUACCCUGGUAGUCCACGCUGUAAACGAUGAGUGCUAAGUGUUAGAGGGUUUCCGCCCUUUAGUGCUGAAGUUAACGCAUUAAGCACUCCGCCUGGGGAGUACGGUCGCAAGACUGAAACUCAAAGGAAUUGACGGGGGCCCGCACAAGUGGUGGAGCAUGUGGUUUAAUUCGAAGCAACGCGAAGAACCUUACCAGGUCUUGACAUCCUCUGACAACCCUAGAGAUAGGGCUUUCCCUUCGGGGACAGAGUGACAGGUGGUGCAUGGUUGUCGUCAGCUCGUGUCGUGAGAUGUUGGGUUAAGUCCCGCAACGAGCGCAACCCUUGAUCUUAGUUGCCAGCAUUAGUUGGGCACUCUAAGGUGACUGCCGGUGACAAACCGGAGGAAGGUGGGGAUGACUCAAAUCAUCAUGCCCCUUAUGACCUGGGCUACACACGUGCUACAAUGGAUAGUACAAAGGGUUGGCAGAC
RNAcentral lists this ribosomal RNA (866 nucleotides) under Gottfriedia luciferensis. Its description in RNAcentral is "bacterial SSU rRNA". It matches the Rfam family "Bacterial small subunit ribosomal RNA", at positions 395 to 1255 of the family's 1533-position model. Lineage: Bacteria; Bacillati; Bacillota; Bacilli; Caryophanales; Bacillaceae. The record is from RNAcentral.